RNAcentral lists this ribosomal RNA (329 nucleotides) under uncultured eukaryote. RNAcentral describes it as "partial 18S ribosomal RNA". It matches the Rfam family "Eukaryotic small subunit ribosomal RNA", at positions 1470 to 1796 of the family's 1831-position model. The record is from RNAcentral.
CCCUUAGAUGUUCUGGGCCGCACGCGCGCUACAAUGAUGAAUUCAACGAGUUUAUAACCUUGGUUGAAAAGCCUGGGUAAUCUUUUGAACUUUCGUCGUGAUGGGGCUAGACCCUUGCAAUUAUUGGUCUCCAACGAGGAAUUCCUAGUAAACGCAAGUCAUCAGCUUGCAUUGAUUACGUCCCUGCCCUUUGUACACACCGCCCGUCGCACCUACCGACUGAAUGGUCCGGUGAAAUCUUCGGAUUGAGACUUUGAUUUCUUCACGGAAAACGCUGUUUUAAGAAGUUGAUUAAACCUUACCAUUUAGAGGAAGGUGAAGUCGUAACA